CCCCAUUCAGUCACCCACUCCCACUAGACCAGGGGUGCCCAAACGGUAGAUCCCCAGAUUAAAACUGCAGCUUUCUUUAUGCUGUUAUAAAGGCAUGCAAAUUAUCAUGUGAGUUGUAGUUCUACACCGUCUGGGAUCUACCAUUUUGGCACCCCUGCACUACACAUUUGUAUUUGUUUCAUUCAGCAAACACAUUUCAUCUAAAUUUGGAUGAAUUUUGAAAUUCACAAGUAUUGGUAUCCAUUUAUUUUCAUAUGCAUAGCAAAUUGGGAACUUCUCUAUUAGUCAACCAAAACAUCAAAAUUAGGAAAAGGGCUAUUUUCCCCUUAAUUUUGAACUUUCAACUGUUUGGCAGAUAGCUUUCUAAUUUUGGUAUCCUUAAAAUGGUAAUCCCACAUAAAGGUACCAUUAGGGAGCUAUCUACUAAACGGUUGCUUUAAAGUUCACUUUUUUAACAAAGUUAAAUUUAACUUUGUUAAAAAUCAAAAUCAAUAUAAAUAUGAAUGGAGAACUGACCACCUGACUUUAUGGGGAGUACAGCUUCCUUACCAAAAACUAUGUGAAACUUAGUAAAGAAAUACCAUAUUACAUAAUUGGCAUAAAACAUUUAUAUCUUUGUCUGGAUGAAUAGGCACGGUCAAAAUGAUCAUAGUACAGAAAUUGCAAUAUUUAUUUUGAACAGUUCCCAUUAUUAUUCCACAAUCUUAUUUUCACUUAAUUCAACAAAAUAUAAACUCCUUUGUUUGGUAAGGCAAAAGGUCUAGGAUUGCACUGACUACACUAUAUUUGCCCAUUGAAAAAGGCGGUAGGAGCCUUACAAACAUCCAUUUGCAUUAUAAAGCGGCACUCUUGAAUAGUUUAGUGUCUGCCCCUCAACAACAACAUCUACCGCAGUGGGUGACAAUUGAAAAACAUUACACACUUGGAAUGCACAAUUCAGAUAUAAUGUGGCUGACACCAUUACACAGACCACAGUUUAUUAAUACAUUACCUACUACAAUAGCAUGCUUUGUGCAGUUGCCCCCCUAUCUCUCUAGUUACACCUAUCAGGGCACUAUGGGUUCUAAUACCGGAUUUUGAUUAUAGGUUAUGGAACCGUUGUGGGAUCUUGUAUUCACAUAUGUUUUAUUAUGAAGGUAAAAUAUUAACAUCUUCACAAUUGGAACGAUUAUAUACACUGCCGAGCGCAGCACUUUUUUUAUGUUUGCAGAUUAGAUCUUGGUGCAAUACUCAUGCAUAUCUUGUGAUAGAUUUAAUUUCUGUAAACGAGCAUCAACUGACCGACUUCGAGAAAUUCUGUGUACAAUCGAUUCCUGUCAAAAAGCCUAUGUCGACCAGUAUUUUUUAAAGAGCAGUAUUCUAAACCUAUUAGAUAUUUGAUGUUCCACAUUCUCAUAGCUGCCUUAUCAUUAAUAGCUAAAAAUUGGUUGAAAACUAAAACCCUUUCUAUAGUCAAAAAAUGUAAAUAACUUUAGUUUGGAAAAACGGCGCCUCAGAGGGGAUAUGAUAACAUUCUACAAAUAUAUUCAGGCUGGUACAAACCAUUAGCUGGAAAUCUAUUCAUAAACGGGGUUAUACAUAGGACACAAUGUCACACAUUUAGGCUGGAAGAAAGGAGAUUUCAUCUAAGGAAAAGGUUUUUUUUUACAAUAAGGAUAUGGAAUUCUCUGCCUGAAGAGGUGGGUUUUAUCAGAGUCCAUAGAGAUGUUUAAACAGCAAUUAUAUAAAUAUUUCGAAAAACAUAACAUACAGGGAUAUAAUUUCUAAUUAGCGGGGUAAUAGCUGCUUGAUUCAAAGAGAUAUCUGACUGCCAUUUUGGGUUCAAGAAGGGAUUUUUCAUUGUUUGAUGCAAAAUUGGAAGUGCUUCAGACUGGGUUUAUUUCCUUAUUUUGGAUCAAUCGCAAAAACAUAUGUGAGGAAGUCUGAACUUGAUGGAAGCAAGUCUCUUUUCAGCUAUGUAACUAUGUAACUAUGUGAUGUUAGAACUCACAAAUUAUAUUUCACAAGUAGGCAGGUAUGAAGUAGCAGCUAGAAAAUCCAUAUCCUCAUACGAUUUUAGUAGGGAGGUUUGGAAAGAAUGGAAUGCUAAAACAAUUAUGAGUAUUUAGUAUUUAGACUUUUGAAUAAGGUAGCAGGAAUACCCCCGGUCGGUCAGCAAAGCUGGUAAUCAAGUAAUAAGUAUUAGCAUGUCAGCUUGAUUUUGGUGUUGUUAUUUGUUGAAUAUUAUUGGAUAAGCCAUGUCGGGUGUGACUUAUAAAAGUGCCUUAUACACAUUCAAGUAAGAAGCCAAGUUGGCGGGGUUUUAGAUUUAUUAAUGUGAUUAAUGUGUUACACGAUUGCCUCUCUUAUAUUAGGCAAAUAAACUUGAACGUUUUGAUACCUUUUGGGUAAAAUAUCACAGUAAUGAAGUCUACAAGUAGUG
Molecule: long non-coding RNA, 2422 nt
Filed under: Pelobates cultripes (western spadefoot toad)
Lineage: Eukaryota; Metazoa; Chordata; Amphibia; Anura; Pelobatidae
Source: RNAcentral